This 343-nucleotide unclassified non-coding RNA is filed under the name soil metagenome. Its description in RNAcentral is "partial contains 5.8S ribosomal RNA, internal transcribed spacer 2, and large subunit ribosomal RNA". The stretch from base 1 to 120 matches the Rfam family "5.8S ribosomal RNA", at positions 35 to 154 of the family's 154-position model. The record is from RNAcentral.
GAUGAAGAACGUAGCGAAAUGCGAUAAGUAAUGUGAAUUGCAGAAUUCAGUGAAUCAUCGAAUCUUUGAACGCACAUUGCGCCCGCUAGUAUUCUGGCGGGCAUGCCUGUCCGAGCGUCAUUUCAACCCUCAAGCCCCCGGGCUUGGUGUUGGGGAUCGGCGAGCCUCCGCGCCCGCCGUCCCCUAAAUCUAGUGGCGGUCUCGCUGUAGCUUCCUCUGCGUAGUAGCACACCUCGCACUGGGAAACAGCGCGGCCACGCCGUUAAACCCCCAACUUCUGAACGUUUGACUUCGGAUCGGGUAGGAAUACCCGCUGAACUUAAGCAUAUCAAUAAGCGGAGGA